Long non-coding RNA from Myotis davidii, 1125 nucleotides. RefSeq lists it as uncharacterized. The transcript has 4 exons. Lineage: Eukaryota; Metazoa; Chordata; Mammalia; Chiroptera; Vespertilionidae. The record is from RefSeq and is a predicted model, not a curated record.
GUCUCCUGCAUUGUGGCAGAGUGGAGUGGCUGGAGUCGCUGUGCCAAACCCUGUCAGGUCUCCUACCGUGUCCGCAGGAGGCAUGUCCUGCAGGAGCCAAGGAAUGGGGGUGCUCCCUGCCCCCAUUUGGAAGAGCAGGCUGGCUGCGUGGAGUACCGGAGCCACCAGGGAGUGGAGUGCCAGCAGUCCUUGUUCCCUGCUCUGAUAACCACAGGCAGAUACGGGAAAGAACGGAAAAAGCAAAUUGUCCCCAAGGGGCAGGAGAUAUUAGGGUACUGUGUCCAGUUCCAGCUGGGACCCAUUCCAGGGAGCUGCCGGCAGGUGAGGGCACCCCAUGCCCAGUGGACGAAGUAUCUGACCCAGGGCCACCUGGUCUGUGUCAGGUGUGAGUGGCCUGCCCAGGAUGCCAGGAGCCGACGUUGCCACGGGGACGGCGGCGGGGCCAGAGAGAACCAGCUGUUGCUGUGGCAAGCGGCCGGCCACCCCCGGUGCCGAGGGACGUGGGAGAGGCUUGGGCAGGUCCCGGACUGUUCCUGCCCAGAGGUCCAUAGCCUCAUCUUCAUCUAGCGUCUCGGCCCCCUAACUGCCAAGACCCCCCCCUUUCCAAGGCCUCCCAGGGAGCCUCCCGUUCCAGAGCUUGGGAUCCACAGGGUCAGGAAGUAGAGAGGAGCCUGCAGAUAUGGGACUGAAGGAAUAAGCCUCGUCCUUAUGUUGACACUGAAGAUAGCUUUAUGUUUCUACUCGGUGCCAACUGGUCAGAGCCUUGCGAACAUCUCCCCGCAGUUCCCGGCUCCCCAAAUGUCCUCUCCUACACACACACUGGUGGCUUUUGCUUUGUCCUCCUCACCUAUACACUUACUUUUUAUGGACUCUCCUCUCCUCCCCAUUUUUUCCACUUAAAUAAAUUUAUUUUAAAAGGCAGCUUAAAUACGUGUGUUUAAAGACGAAUGUUCUAUCAAGCUAGAAAUGAAAAUAAAUAAUAGUAGUCAACAUUUAUUAAAUGUCUACAGAGUGCCAAGCGCUGUUCUGGCUCUUUUCACCUAUUGACUCCUUGGACUCUGAGUUCGGUGCAAUUACAUCCCCAUUUUACAUGUGAGGAAAGGGAGGCACAGAGAGGUUAGAUCA